This 259-nucleotide ribosomal RNA is filed under the name uncultured bacterium. Its description in RNAcentral is "partial 16S ribosomal RNA". It matches the Rfam family "Bacterial small subunit ribosomal RNA", at positions 78 to 339 of the family's 1533-position model. The record is from RNAcentral.
GCUUGCUCUCGCUGACGAGCGGCGGACGGGUGAGUAACGCGUAGGAAUCUGCCCAAUAGUGGGGGAUAGCCCGGGGAAACUCGGAUUAAUACCGCAUACGCCCUACGGGGGAAAGCAGGGGAUCUUCGGACCUUGCACUAUUGGAUGAGCCUGCGUUGGAUUAGCUAGUUGGUAGGGUAAAGGCCUACCAAGGCGACGAUCAGUCGCUGGUCUGAGAGGGCGACCGGCCACACUGGGACUGAGACACGGCCCAGACUCC